This 1720-nucleotide long non-coding RNA is filed under the name Populus trichocarpa (black cottonwood). RNAcentral's name for it is "long non-coding RNA (PTRI_LNC000683)". The stretch from base 95 to 196 matches the Rfam family "MIR473 microRNA precursor family". Lineage: Eukaryota; Viridiplantae; Streptophyta; Magnoliopsida; Malpighiales; Salicaceae. The record is from RNAcentral.
UACCAAGUAUCGAGGCAGGCUGGGGGCUCUUUUGGGGGUUUAAACAGGUUCUGUCUUGCUUACAAAGGCUCUCCGUAGUCUCAGGAUGGCAAUCGUUGCUCGCUCUCCCUCAGGGCUUCCAACGCAGUAAGCAGGUACGUGCAUGUCAGCAUAUUCUCGCUGCAGGCUCGAGGUCUUUGGUGAGAGUAGUGAUCAAAAGCUGUCAUGAUUUUGGCAGACAAGAAAAAACAAUAUCAUCUGUAAAUUCUUUGCUGGUAAUUAAUCCUACCUGCAGGUAUCUCCUCUUGCAAGAUUUUUUGGAUUAAAAAAAAAGAGUUUUUCGUUUCAUUUUAGUGGCUGGAUAUAUAGAAAUCACUCAAGCAUAUAGUAAUAGUUCAUGUUGUGAAAUAGCUAGAAAGGAUUUUUGUCACUUCAUCCAUUAAUCUUAGUUCUAGAAACGAAAACAUCGAGAGGAAAUCAUUAACUAGUAAGAUUUCGUGUCAACAAAACAGAAAGGCAUUACAAGGGAAACAAAUUGGUCUUUGUGAUCCUUUCAUGGGAUAUCGAGAAGAGCUUCUGUUUUUUGUAUUUCUCUUGAUAUAUGAAAUAAACGUGCAAGAAAAGACCAUCAACAGAAAAUUAGUGUCUUUGCUAAAUUGUAGAAAAUAUGUAUGGUUGUCGUUCAAGCACCGAUCAAGGAUUUUUCCAAUUGACGUUGGAUUUUUCCAGUUAAUCAAGGAUCAAUCUUAACUAGCUUGCAGUUAACUACGAUCUAUGUCUUCGCUUCUCCAACAGUUAUUCUUCGAAAGAGCCACGCACAACAGACUUGCUCCUAUGCACCCAAGAAAGCUUUCCGUCCUCUUCAAGGUAGUGAAACUGAAAGAUACUCUUAAAAACAAUAAAGGCAAACAACAUUUCUUAAUAAACGCAGAAACCUCCUGAGGCAUGCCUCGAAGGCGAAUCUAAGACGCGAAUUAAUCUGGGCUACGCCUUCAGACGUGACAUAUAGCUUGCGACUUCUAAGCCUUAUCCCGGUGCCUAUCCGACUGGAUCAUCCUUUGGUAAGCCCUUAUUUAGUUUGCCUAACUGUUCUCUCCUUUUACUGGCGGAUAUGAUUGAUACUGUAGGCCAGCUUACUCCCCAAAAGCAGAUGGGAUGUGACCCGCCGGUGCUUAGGGGCCAGCAACUGCUUGUUCCUCGCUUGGGGUGGAGAUGGUGCUACAGGAGGUGUUUUGGUGUUGGUGUGCAGGUGCUCAGGUGCAGUAGGCUGGCUGGUGAAUGAACAAGGAAGUCAAAUGCCUCUUGUAAUUUCAAGUUUUGCCGUCACUGACUUUUCUCCUCUCUCCCUUUGGCCGUGAAACCUAUCUUCUUGAAGAAAGAGAGAGCCGCUGAUAAUAAACAUUUCAUACGAAAAUACAAUUUUUUAUUUUUAUUUGUUUAAAUCUCAACACCUGGCUUUCUUUGAAAAAGGAUAUAGUGAAUCAAAAGAAAGGUUUGCUUUGUUUAAAUGGUGUUGAGAUUACAAGAGGAUAUACGAAAAAGGAUAUUUUUUUAAAUUUAUUAUUUUUAUUUGUUUAAAUCUCAAUACCUGGCUUGCUGCAUGGGUGCUGCGGGAACAAAUGGCCGUGGAACCUGCAGAUCGAUCCACCGGCGUCCAUGUCCAGCAGUAGCCCUCCGAGGUGGUGCUCAAGCCAAGUAACGCGGUCUUCGAAACAACCUAAAACUAAAAGAAAAUAACAAU